GUAGGGAAUCUUGCGCAAUGGGCGAAAGCCUGACGCAGCCAUGCCGCGUGAAUGAUGAAGGUCUUAGGAUUGUAAAAUUCUUUCACCGGGGACGAUAAUGACGGUACCCGGAGAAGAAGCCCCGGCUAACUUCGUGCCAGCAGCCGCGGUAAUACGAAGGGGGCUAGCGUUGCUCGGAAUUACUGGGCGUAAAGGGCGCGUAGGCGGACAGUUUAGUCAGAGGUGAAAGCCCAGGGCUCAACCUUGGAAUUGCCUUUGAUACUGGCUGUCUUGAGUACGGGAGAGGUGAGUGGAACUCCGAGUGUAGAGGUGAAAUUCGUAGAUAUUCGGAAGAACACCAGUGGCGAAGGCGACUCACUGGCCCGUUACUGACGCUGAGGCUCGAAAGCGUGGGGAGCAAACAGGAUUAGAUACCCGAGUAGUCC
This 425-nucleotide ribosomal RNA is filed under the name uncultured bacterium. RNAcentral describes it as "partial 16S ribosomal RNA". It matches the Rfam family "Bacterial small subunit ribosomal RNA", at positions 354 to 796 of the family's 1533-position model. The record is from RNAcentral.